UACGGAGGGGGCUAGCGUUGUUCGGAAUUACUGGGCGUAAAGCGCGCGUAGGCGGACCUGCAAGUCGGGGGUGAAAGCCCGAGGCUCAACCUCGGAACUGCCUUCGAUACUGCGGGUCUCGAGUCCGGGUGAGGUGAGUGGAAUUCCUAGUGUAGAGGUGAAAUUCGUAGAUAUUCGCAAGAACACCAGUGGCGAAGGCGGCUCACUGGCCCGGUACUGACGCUGAGGUGCGAAAGCGUGGGGAGCAAACAGG
Molecule: ribosomal RNA, 253 nt
Filed under: uncultured bacterium
Lineage: Bacteria
Description: partial 16S ribosomal RNA
Rfam family: Bacterial small subunit ribosomal RNA
Source: RNAcentral